CAAUAGCGUAUAUUUAAGUUGCUGCAGUUAAAAAGCUCGUAGUUGGAUUUCGGGUGGGAAUGGCCGGUCCGCCGUUUCGGUGUGCACUUGCUACGCCCACCUUGCUGCCGGGGACGUGCUCUUGAGUUCACGCUCGGGACACGGAGUCGGCGAGGUUACUUUGAGUAAAUUAGAGUGUUCAAAGCAGGCCUACGCUCUGAAUACAUUAGCAUGGAAUAACACGAUAGGACUCUGGCCUAUCUUGUUGGUCUGUAGGACCGGAGUAAUGAUUAAGAGGGACAGUCGGGGGCAUUCGUAUUUCAUUGUCAGAGGUGAAAUUCUUGGAUUUAUGAAAGACGAACUACGGCGAAAGCAUUUGCCAAGGAUGUUUUCAUUAA
Molecule: ribosomal RNA, 377 nt
Filed under: uncultured eukaryote
Lineage: Eukaryota
Description: partial 18S ribosomal RNA
Rfam family: Eukaryotic small subunit ribosomal RNA
Source: RNAcentral